GACGAACGCUGGCGGCGUGCUUAACACAUGCAAGUCGAACGCUGAACCCGCUUCGGUGGGGGAUGAGUGGCGAACGGGUGAGUAACACGUGGGCAACCUGCCCCCGGCUCUGGGAUAACUCCAAGAAAUUGGGGCUAAUACCGGAUGUGACCGCUGGCCGCAUGGUCUGGUGGUGGAAAGGGUUUCCGGCUGGGGAUGGGCCCGCGGCCUAUCAGCUUGUUGGUGGGGCAGUGGCCUACCAAGGCGACGACGGGUAGCCGGCCUGAGAGGGUGACCGGCCACACUGGGACUGAGACACGGCCCAGACUCCUACGGGAGGCAGCAGUGGGGAAUAUUGCGCAAUGGGCGGAAGCCUGACGCAGCGACGCCGCGUGGGGGAUGACGGCCUUCGGGUUGUAAACCUCUUUCAGCAGGGACGAAGCGCAAGUGACGGUACCUGCAGAAGAAGCACCGGCCAACUACGUG
This 465-nucleotide ribosomal RNA is filed under the name uncultured bacterium. RNAcentral's name for it is "partial 16S ribosomal RNA". It matches the Rfam family "Bacterial small subunit ribosomal RNA", at positions 28 to 507 of the family's 1533-position model. The record is from RNAcentral.